This 433-nucleotide ribosomal RNA is filed under the name uncultured bacterium. Its description in RNAcentral is "partial 16S ribosomal RNA". It matches the Rfam family "Bacterial small subunit ribosomal RNA", at positions 29 to 507 of the family's 1533-position model. The record is from RNAcentral.
AACGAACGCUGGCGGCAUGCCUAACACAUGCGAGUCGAACGAGACCUUCGGGUCUAGUGGCGCACGGGUGCGUAACGCGUGGGAACCUGCCCUUAGGUUCGGAAUAACUCCCCGAAAGGGGUGCUAAUACCGGAUAAUGUCUUCGGACCAAAGAUUUAUCGCCUUUGGAUGGGCCCGCGUUGGAUUAGCUAGUUGGUAGGGUAAAAGCCUACCAAGGCGACGAUCCAUAGCUGGUCUGAGAGGAUGAUCAGCCACACUGGGACUGAGACACGGCCCAGACUCCUACGGGAGGCAGCAGUGGGGAAUAUUGGACAAUGGGCGAAGGCCUGAUCCAGCAAUGCCGCGUGAGUGAUGAAGGCCUUAGGGUUGUAAAGCUCUUUUACCCGGGAUGAUAAUGACAGUACCGGGAGAAUAAGCGCCGGCUAACUCCGUG